This 281-nucleotide unclassified non-coding RNA is filed under the name Clostridioides difficile. RNAcentral describes it as "16S-23S ribosomal RNA intergenic spacer (ISR)". Lineage: Bacteria; Bacillati; Bacillota; Clostridia; Peptostreptococcales; Peptostreptococcaceae. The record is from RNAcentral.
GCCUACUGUUUAAUUUUGAGGGUUCGUUUUUACGAAUACUCAAAAUCCUCCUUUCUAAGGAGAAUUACCUACUGUUUAAUUUUGAGGGUUCGUUUUUACGAAUACUCAAAAUUAGCACUUUAAGCAACGGGAUUUAUCCGUUGGCGCUGUGCUUUAGCACUUUGAAAACUGCAUAUAUAUUUAGUGAUAUGACAUCUAAUUUGUAAUAUAUAAAGCUGAUAACUUUUUAAAAUUAUCGAAGUUGAUAGCUUCUAAUCUAUCAAACCUUUUUAACUGGUCAA